Molecule: transfer RNA, 73 nt
Filed under: Dipodomys ordii (Ord's kangaroo rat)
Lineage: Eukaryota; Metazoa; Chordata; Mammalia; Rodentia; Heteromyidae
Rfam family: tRNA
About the family: Transfer RNA (tRNA) molecules are approximately 80 nucleotides in length. Their secondary structure includes four short double-helical elements and three loops (D, anti-codon, and T loops).
Source: Rfam by way of RNAcentral
GGAGGAAUAGCUCAAAUGGUAAAGAGCUUGCCUAGCAAGCACAAGACCCUGAGUUCAAAUCCCAGUUCCACCA